This is a long non-coding RNA of Scylla paramamosain (green mud crab), 2063 nucleotides long. RefSeq lists it as uncharacterized. Lineage: Eukaryota; Metazoa; Arthropoda; Malacostraca; Decapoda; Portunidae. The record is from RefSeq and is a predicted model, not a curated record. The transcript has 3 exons.
ACUCCUAGCCAGCGCCAGUCCCCGCCCCGUUACUUUGCGAAGUGGAUGUGAGCAGGGUUCUGUGUUUUCUCGAACACUUAUUUGUGAUCUUGGUGAAACAGGACCGUCAAUGCCCUACCAGAACCUUGUCGCCAAACUCCCAGCAGAACAUCCUCUCGGGUGGAAAGUCUCCCUCCGCUCGAGCGUCCUUUUCCUCCUGUCGCUGCCUCGGCGCUUCAGGGAUCAUAUUCAGAGGAAUACAUAUAAGUUUCUCCUUAGUUCUUUGGAAGGAGACGCGUGCAUCUCCGCCACGCAGAGCCCCACAGCAACCCCGCUACCUGCUGGAGGAUAUGACAUGUUUUAUUCAUUUGUCUAAUGGCCUUGGGGAGAGAAUGACUCCUAUGACCCCGGAUUUGUUUGUAAAAUCAAAAAUUCGGUCAAAACUAUUAUUGUAUUCUUACCAUGAAGACAGAAAGGUGAGGAACAGGAUGUGUUAAGAGAGCUGUAAUUGGCCUGUCUGUUCCGCUCCCUUGGUCUUUGUAGGUGUGGCAGGCUAUACACUGACUCAGUACGCAAGACAAUUACAGUGCCCUCGUUAAUUAAUUUAUGUUCUCUUAGUGGUGGUGCUGAUGGUGGUGGUGCUGCACAGUCACCAGUCUGACACGGAGAAUGGGAUGGAGGGACACUGGCUGACCUAGCACGCAGCUGUCCGCCCCCAAGUUGCCCAGUGUGAUAUAUAUACUGUUGAUACUGGAAAGGAAUCCUGGACCCUGUUGUCAUCAUAAUGUUCACUAUUAAGGCUGUUUCUCAACAUUCAAGUUUGUAAUAUUGGAAACCCACGCGGCAACAGAUGACCACCUUGAAGACAAGUCUUGCAAAACGGAUGGGUGAUUCCCGCCGCAAUAAAGGCUGAGUAAUGUGGAUGCUCGCUACCACCAGAUGUUUUACUGUUCCAAAUGUCGUAUCACUGUCGCUGAUAGCAAUGCCAGCCAGGAGUCAGCGUUUGGGAGUGUGGGAGUCAUGCGCUCAUCAUGUCUGGGACGUCGAUAUUUACCUUGUCACCAAGAAGCAAACGAGCCCCGUGCUGUCAAGAUAUGCUACCCUCGAGGGCUGCUGCUCUGAAAUGAGUCACCAUGAAGAAACACUGACCAUCAAGAGAAGCAUCUGUAAACAAGUACUUACGACAGCCUGGCUAAGAUACACCACUACUGGUGCAUACGAGCAUAUCAUAAUAGUAAUAGUUUUCAUCCACCAUUCAAGCUUCGUCUGUCGUCUACGUAUGAAAGAGCUUAAUAUUUUUUUUUUUUUUUCCUUUUAAUGCAGUAGGAAUUUCAGACUGAGGUCACAGUGCGGCGGUUAUUUUUAGCAUCGUCUGUCCCACCGCUAUAUUUCAAGCGUCACCCUGAUAUGGAAGGUGCAGAGUUCGUGAUAUUCCCUAUCUCGGCAGAUUUUAUAGAAAACAUUUUUUUACACAAUACCAGCCUGGCAACGGUGGAAGGUUCAUACCCCAAAGAAUCUAAUAUCGUAUGAGCAAUAAAAAAAUUCUUAUAAUUGAAACAAGUUCUCUCCCCAGAGGUUGUUAUCGGUAAAAAUUUGUUUUGCUCUAGUGCUGCAUUCUUGUAAUUCGUUAGUCUCGCCCUUCACCCCGGGCAGUCCUCGCGCCGGCCCUCGCCCUCACCCGGCCAGGGGAGCAGGGGCGAGGAAGGCAGCAGCAGCAGCAGCAGCAGCAACAGAAGCAGAAGCAGAAGUAUGGUGUACGAGAGCGUCGGAUUCACCGCUUGUUCUCAUCGUGAGGCUAAAUUUUACACCAGCACCGUUAUAUCUUUUACAUCGCAUCGUGUGUUGGAUUAAAUGUGUCGAAAAAUAUUUAUAGAUUGUCCUAAUACAUCUAUAACGUGCACAUGCAAGAGAGAACACUACAUAGGUCUCAGUGUUCAUGAUUUUAUAUAACUUUUUUUUUCCAAACUCCAGCCAUUUUACUUCAAUAUCUUGUUUGUAUAACAUAGUGUAACUAUUGUAUAAAAACGAUUACCUAUGAGUGCACUGUAAUAAAGAAAGAAUGCUAUAAUUUUUUUCAAAGAAGA